Molecule: non-coding RNA, 3486 nt
Organism: Anolis sagrei ordinatus
Lineage: Eukaryota; Metazoa; Chordata; Lepidosauria; Squamata; Anolidae
Source: RefSeq, a predicted model, not a curated record
GGCUGGAUGCCUUUCCAAAAGUGAAAGCGGGGAGAGGGAAGCCUUGUAGCCAAAAUUUUCUAUCCCAGUCUCACUCCGCCCCCCUCCCUCCUUCACCCGCCCAACCGGACUGUGGGUAUGGAAUAGAUCCCUUCCACUCAUUUUCGUGAGAUCAAUAACUUGUCCUAAGGGAGAAGCUUGGAGGGGAAGAAAAAAAAGGAAAUCAAACCUAGCCGAAUCGGAUUGCCAAGGGAAUUGCCCUCAGUGACUUGUUAAGGGGAUCCAAACAAAGAGGUGCAUCUACCGGAAAUAAUGAUGGGAGAGAUUCGCUGCCUUGCCCCCUCCCGCCUCCAUUAAAAUUGUUUUUCUGGGAGGCUCAGUUAGAGGGAAGUUUGGAACUAGAGACUGGGAUGAAGAAAGUCUAGGAAAGAUUCCCCCCCACCCCCUUCCUUCCCAAAGUUGCUGGGAUCGGAGGGAUCCCAAGCAAAAGCUUGGGAGGGGGAUCGGAGAAGGCUGAAGUUAGACCUGAGCUGGAUUGGGCCAAGGUGAUAUUCUGCUAUGUAGUGAAGUGUUAUCAAAUGACAGUUGUGGGAUUAGCUGAACUGCUUACAGAUAUGACUCACAUCAGUACAGUGAGCGAUGAUGUACAUUUGAUGGAGCCAGUAAUUAAGGGAUUUACAUUCAGAACUGUGUCCUGAAAUUUCUUCCUGUUCUAAGACAGAUACCUGAGAUAUAUAUAUAUCUUCAAUAAAUAAUGGAAACAUAAAAAUCAUUACUACCACCACACUGUCACAACAAACCUCAAAUACUGGUUUGGAUGAUGGAAAUCUAAUGAGAGUAGCUGAUGCUGUCAAGAAACAAAAUAAACUAGAAGAGAAUUGUAAUGGAACAUCCAGAUUCAGGGAUGUAGCCCAAGGGUUCAAAGGGCACAACGAGUUUGAAACAUGACUUCUUUUUCUCCUGUGGCUGCCAUCAAAGAAAUGCACAAUGCGGAGCCUUCUUGGUGGUUGCUCCCACACUGUGGAACUUUUGUGCUCUCAUUCUACUGGCAGGCAGUCCUUUCCAGAAGAAGGUGUAGCCUCCUUUUUCAUCCUUCAGCAAGGUGAUAAUGAUGGAUCAUAGGAGCAGCCACAGUUCAGCAAACAAGCAGUAAAACUCAAGUCUCUAUUCCUGUGAGGAAUUUACUUUAUAACAUCCUUUGAGAGGAGCGAACUAUUUCAUUGGUACCGAACUCCUGUAAGCAAGGUGGCGCACAGAGAAGGAAGUUAACCUAUUACAGUCCUGAGAGGAAGGCACAGGGAAAUGUUUCAAGGUUUUAGCUGGCAGUGUAAGGAAUGUACGGUGCUAAUGCAGGGAACCGAGUCUCAUGCUGUGUCUGCAGGAACAUAACUGGGCACUCCUGCUCCCUACUUCCUGCAGGAUUUGAGCCACGCUGUUUGGAAGGAGCGAUUUCGUCUUCUCUCUGAGCGAUGACGCUGCACCACUUUCGGCAUAUCCUGCUUCCUCCAUUUACCUGGGUGGCUGCUGCUGUUGCUGCUGAUGGGGUUGCUCCUGCCUGCCUGGAUUUCCACCUGGCUCGGACUAUGGGAGAAUCACUUCUCAUCCUGCGAAUUAAAAAAGCAUGAUGAAAUCAGGGCAGGGAAAUGCUGCUGGAAAAGAAGAAAUGUGUGACGCAAGGUUUAUUUUCUACCCCUCCUAAAAAGGUGACAAAAUAAGCCGUUUGUUCUGUGCCUCAAUCUCCACAGCCUUCCAGAGAAUGGUAUCUGGAGCUUCCUUGAUUCUUCGUACCUCAGAGGCCAGAUGGAGUAGAGGGUCAUUCCAGGAGCGGAGUACACUCAACACUAGAUUUAGCAAGUCUUCGUGCUGCUCAUUCACACAAGAUAACGCUGUUAAAUACUGCCACACAAACUUUAUACUUGAAGAAUUGCCUUCUGGAGACCUAGCCAAGAGAAAGAGAGGAUGCACUGAGAGGCCCAGAAUGACUGAACUUUUCUUACCACUGUGUUGAGCUCUGAGGCAGGCCCUGUGUUUAAAAAUAGUCGUACAGUCCUCCUUCCUGUGUAGCUCUUUUCACAGCAAUUGGUUCUGAAGGAUGAAGUCAUGCUUGGAGCUUGCUGGUGACUAGAUGGGUUGUUUCCAGAAGUGUGCAGAGAGGUUCACAUACUGCAAGCUAAAAAAGAGAUAGUUAAGAGUUUGCCAGUAAUCUACCCAAAGAGGAAACAAAUGGAAGAAGGAAUAAAUAAAUAAAUCUGUCUUAAAAUGUAAAACAUGAAAGGAUGAUGUAUGAGUUCCUAGAUUUAUGAAGCCAUCUGGAGAACUGGCAUUUGCACAGCUUGAUAUUUGACAGCUCAUGAUUUGAGGGUGGGUUUUUUUUCAAAUCCUGAAUUCUGUGAAUGCAUUGAUCUUUCUCUGUUUUUCUGUGUCUUGUAAUAGAGUUUUUUAAAAUUUGCUCAGAGAAACAUUGAGCCUUUUAGUGUUUGGUAAAUAGUUCAGGGGGUCUAUUUCUUACGACUAUCUUCUCUAUGUUUAAUUCAUUAAGAGGACUGUUUAAUUUUUGGUGUGUUUUGACAGUUGGGUGACCUUUGAUUUCCUCAUUCAAGAAAAUAGUUUAGGCUGACAGAGGCUGAAAAGAGCUUUCAGGUUCGUGGCCCUUUGGAAACAAGCCGACCCUUCGUUUCUACAAACCCAAGUCCAGACGAAGCAAUUGCUUUUAAUCUAUAGAUUGCUCUGGUGAACAAGACAGAUCAAAGCCCCGUCUUAAACAUGUUUGAAAAAUGCACAUCCGCAUUGCAGUGGGAAAAAAAGGGGGAGGCUGUAUGGAAAUCAAUAAUAUCUCAUUCAAGCAGACUCUAUGACUUUGACUUCAAAGUGACUUCAAUGUGUGUUCUCAAUUUCAAAAGAAAAUGAGGGCUGGCAAAAAGUGGGGAGUGUGGUGGCAAGGAAGAGGUUCAUGGUUUCUCCUCUAUUAAUUCUGUGUGUACGCCAGCUGAGUUCUAGAAGGUUCUAUCACUCUUUGGCGAAGGAGAGCCUGCUGUGUUACAUUUGUUAACUGCCUGCACCUGUGACCACCACCAAAGGCAAGGCAAAGCUGGAGGAGGUGCACAACAGCUUACCACUUCCCUGCUUUUGGAAUGCAAAUGAUUCACGCUUUUAUGAGAGAAUUAGGGAGGUAAGCAUAUAAAAGGCAGUGAAUCUGGAAAAGUAACUUGAGUUGUUUUGCUGCUUGUUUUUCUUGAAUCCUUACAAAAAAUGCCUCCCGUCCCACCAGAAGGCUUAAACAGAGGCAGGGCCUUCCACCAUAAUGUACACUUAUGAUUUUUGUUAUGUUUUCAUGUCUUUAUUUACUGAAUUUGACUGUAUUUACUGAAUUUGACUAUAUUUAUUGAAUCCACAUGAUAGACUGCUUCAUAUUGCAGAUUUCAGCAGUAUAUAGUAGGAUGAAGCAAAUAAAUCUGAAAUGGUAUGAUGAAACAUACAUGAAUAAAAACAGCGACUGGGAUUUCUUAA